GGAGAGGUGGCCGAGCGGCCGAUGGCGCACGCCUGGAAAGUGUGUAUACCUCACGGUAUCGAGGGUUCGAAUCCCUCCCUCUCCGCCA
RNAcentral lists this transfer RNA (88 nucleotides) under Pseudomonadales bacterium. RNAcentral describes it as "tRNA-Ser". It matches the Rfam family "tRNA". Rfam says of the family: Transfer RNA (tRNA) molecules are approximately 80 nucleotides in length. Their secondary structure includes four short double-helical elements and three loops (D, anti-codon, and T loops). The record is from RNAcentral. RNAcentral also lists the same sequence under 1 other name. Lineage: Bacteria; Pseudomonadati; Pseudomonadota; Gammaproteobacteria; Pseudomonadales.